UCCUACGGGAGGCAGCAGUAGGGAAUCUUCCGCAAUGGACGAAAGUCUGACGGAGCAACGCCGCGUGAGUGAUGAAGGCUUUCGGGUCGUAAAACUCUGUCAAGUGGGAAGAAACCGCAUGAUGCUAAUACUAUCAUGCGCUGACGGUACCACUGAAGGAAGCACCGGCUAACUCCGUGCCAGCAGCCGCGGUAAUACGGGGGGUGCAAGCGUUAUUCGGAUUUACUGGGCGUAAAGAGCGCGUAGGCGGUCUUUUAAGUCAGGUGUGAAAGCCCGGGGCUUAACCCCGGAAGUGCACUUGAAACUAUGAGACUUGAGUAUGGGAGAGGGAAGUGGAAUUCCUGGUGUAGCGGUGAAAUGCGUAGGUAUCAGGAGGAACGCCGGUGGCGAAAGCGGCUCUCUGGACUGUAACUGACACUGAGGCUCGAAAGCGUGGGUAGCAAACAGGAUUAGAUACCCUGGUAGUCCACGCCGUAAACGAUGAGUGCUAGUUGUUUGGGGCUAUCCAGCCCUAAGUGACGCAGCAAACGCAUUAAGCACUCCGCCUGGGGAGUACGACCGCAAGGUUGAAACUCAAAUGAAUUGACGGA
RNAcentral lists this ribosomal RNA (590 nucleotides) under uncultured bacterium. Its description in RNAcentral is "bacterial SSU rRNA". It matches the Rfam family "Bacterial small subunit ribosomal RNA", at positions 337 to 917 of the family's 1533-position model. The record is from RNAcentral.